This 275-nucleotide unclassified non-coding RNA is filed under the name plant metagenome. RNAcentral's name for it is "partial contains small subunit ribosomal RNA, internal transcribed spacer 1, and 5.8S ribosomal RNA". The stretch from base 1 to 54 matches the Rfam family "Eukaryotic small subunit ribosomal RNA", at positions 1778 to 1831 of the family's 1831-position model. The record is from RNAcentral.
GGAAGUGAAAGUCGUAACAAGGUUUCCGUAGGUGAACCUGCGGAAGGAUCAUUAACGAGUUAGGGUCUUCUAGGCCCGACCUCCCAACCCUAUGUUUAUUGAACCUCUGUUGCUUCGGCGGACCCGCCUCACGGCCGCCGGAGGACCGCUGCAAGGCGUCCUCUGGCCAGCGUCCGCCGAUGGCCAACCACUUAAACUCUGAAUGAAUCGUGUCAUAUGUCUAAGUCUAUGAUUAAAUUAAAGCAAAACUUUCAACAACGGAUCUCUUGGUUCUG